GCGGCUGUUUGAUUGGCAAUCGCGCUGUGCUUAUUCUUUCGUGUAUCAUAUCGUAGCCUGUAAGGUUUAAAUCAUUGCCUUUUAUAUAUACACAAAUAGUAGAACAUGUAUGAUGUAAUAUUUUAGGUAAUAUUAGGCCUGCUCUUGCCAAGCUCUGAUUUCUGAGAGAUGCACGCGUGACAAUAGCAAUGCGGUGUAUGAUUUGCGCUCUUUUAAUUCAUAAAAUUUACGUUCAUUCACUUCACACACUCACUGAGUGAAUUUAGAGGUCUGUGUAAAAUAUUGUGCUGAUCCCCUGGCUCACCUGUGAAUCUAGCAAACACCAGACUGUGCUGCAGCCUCAGCCGAAUAUUCGGGCAGAGCUAUUCGUUAUCUGUUAUUCAUUUUUGAAGCCAUUAUCUGUGCUUUUCGAAUAAGGUAUUCGGCUUCGGGCACACCCCUAAUUGCCAUGUUAUCAUUCUUAUUGAUAGUGUAUAUAUAUAUAUAUAUAUAUAUAUAUAUAUAUAUAUAUAUAUAUAUAUAUAUAUAUAUAUAUAUAUAUAUAUAUAUAUAUAUAUAUAAAUAUAAAAUUAUUUUCAUACAUAUUGAUGCAGCUAAAGAUGUUUUUAAUGAUUUUAUUGUGAUUUUAAUGUUUUAAUGACCAUUGGCAUAUCUAUUUGAAAUACUAAAAACAUUUUACAAAAAUAAGAGAAUGUCUGUUUAAAUAGUAUCACUUUCUUUUGUAUUUUCUGUAAUUUUGCUUAGUGCACAGUGCACAUAUGAAAGUGUUCUUUGCUGUUCUGGUUUUGUCCAUUGUAAAUGACCACAUUGAAACAUUGUUAGGAUAAGACCAUUGGAGUCUGAUAAAUCCUUUGACAUUUAGACAGUCUGACUCAUAAAAUUAAUGCAGAGCUUCCAGAUGGAAGACCAAAUAAAAAAAUAAUAUCUGUAGUGACAUGCUGAACUAGGAGCAUAAAAAAAAAAAAAACAUUCUCUGUAAUAUUGUUUUUUUUUUUUUUUAUUAUUUUCCAAAAGACCGGCAGCUCAGUCUACUAGACACUGAUCUAAUCUCAGGGUUUAUAUUUUAUGAAUAUGCUGGUGCGGUACAUUGUUGAUGGCUCAUGUUCUAAUCAAGUUUUUGAAGUGCUGAUUAUUUUAAAUUUUUUGUUAAAUAAAUGUUGAUUUGUUUUAAAUAAAAUGGAAAUUUCUACACUUGGGUGCUUUUCAGUGUGGGCCGAUUAAAAGGA
Long non-coding RNA from Cyprinus carpio carpio, 1226 nucleotides. The record is from Ensembl. NCBI's taxonomy places the organism in Eukaryota, Metazoa, Chordata, Actinopteri, Cypriniformes, Cyprinidae.